RNAcentral lists this long non-coding RNA (783 nucleotides) under Prunus dulcis (almond). Its description in RNAcentral is "sRNA ncRNA". Lineage: Eukaryota; Viridiplantae; Streptophyta; Magnoliopsida; Rosales; Rosaceae. The record is from RNAcentral.
CAAGCGUGGACUGUGCCAAGCAGAGCUCAAUCUCAAUGUGAAAUUGAAGCUUACUCCCACCGUCUGCGCCUGAACUCAUGAGUCAUGACCAAUAGGAAAAUGAAAAGUUUGGGUCAAAGUCAAAAACACUUCUUUUAAUGGACCCCACAACCAAAAAGCUCUACACCGUCCUUUGCCACCCAAUCCCUCCCACACCUUAUAACAAAGGACGUUAAAUAGCUUAUGAAAUGAAGAUGCCAAAGAACCCCAAAGCCAAUCUUUUUCUGCUCCAUUCUUUUUGCCAAGGAGGAGAAUAUAGCUGAAAGAAUCAUCCUAUAUAGUUGGGGGGAAGAAAGAGGUUCAUUAAACAAGUUAUUGUUCUUGAAACAUCAAGAAUGAGACACUUUUGCUUAUGUCUAUUAGUUUUGAUGGCGCUAGUGUUCUUCUCACAGUCCAACGUUGUUGUUGUUCAAGUUGAAUGUAGAGCUCUUCGUUCCAAAGUUUCUGGUAAUGGGCAUAGAUUGAUCGGAUCAAAACCUUCAUUUUCAAGCUCUGCAACUGCAAGGAAGAAGAGGGACAAGGUUUUUGUAAGGUAUCAAAUGUCUACGUUGGCUUCUGGACCAAGUAGGAAGGGCUCUGGCCACUAGCUUAAUUCCAUACUUCUAAAACAUUUUUAAUGGCUUCCUUCAAUCAUCAUGUAAUUCUUCUUUAUUUAUAUCAUCAGCUGUGGAUGUUUGUAGCCUAAACAUAUGUAUAUUUGCAAUGGAUUAUUAUGAAAUUCAAGAAACGAAACACACUUCUUAG